Molecule: long non-coding RNA, 1214 nt
Filed under: Pan troglodytes (chimpanzee)
Lineage: Eukaryota; Metazoa; Chordata; Mammalia; Primates; Hominidae
Description: long non-coding RNA NONPTRT006400
Source: RNAcentral
UAAUAUGCUAUUCUUUGUCAGGUUAGGAACACUCCAUUAUGAUGGGAGAUGCUCCGAGGAUGUCACGGAGCAUGUCUGGUGUUUUCAAUGCACAGAAAAACACAUCAGAGAGAUCAGCAACACCCACGUUGCCACCAAGAACUAAGGUCGAAUGGCUGCUGAAUGCCUUUGGAACAGGAGCUAUGAAUCACCCCGCCUCCAGGGCUAGGAAGGAGAGUGAAGAAACUUCACAGAGCUAGCACUACCGCACUACCGAGGAGCCUGUCCUCUGAGUUAUCAUGCAUGAGAGACGCAACCCGCAUCAAGAUCGCCCCCAUAUCAGUUCCCUUUUGCUGUUUCUGUUUUUCUGUUGAUCAGUUCUGAGUUCACCACAAUAAAAAUCUUUGAAGGGCUGAAUGCUUUUGAGACAAAUUCCCUCACCGGUACAGGCUGUGAAUAGGAUGAAAAAGGAUGACAGCGGAAGAACGAAUCAUAAAGCUGACCCUAAUUGAAGGAAAACAAAAAUCUAAGGAGAUGCCUAUCCCCUGAAAAGGCAAAGUGGAGGGGCGGGGGAAGAAACCCGGGAAAUCUAUUGACUUAAAAUGACAAGAGUGGGGAAAACAGGCUCCAUCAUCAUUUUAUAGCUCUGUCUAUUGUCUAAAACCAAAAGGAGCCCUUUCAUUCCCAUGUUCAUGCGUGCACAAAACUAUGUAUUAAACACCUCCGGUCUGCGAGGCCGUGUUGGGUGUCUUUGUCAGGUGAAGAAAGAGAAGAAGGCUGGUACACCUUCCCAGGAAUUCUCACUGAAGAAAACAUCUGGAUUUUUUACAUCUCUUGUGCAAAACAAACAAAGAUUUCAUUAAGUGAUGUAUAUUGUUUUCCAAGGAAGAAACCUGCAGAGACAAAAACAAAUAAGCAAAUAAUUGAAACAAAAAUAUGAUAAACAAAACCCCCAAAUUCUUCCAGUGCUAAUUUACUUGUUAUCAUGGUUCUCUACAAAGGCAGAGAUCACUAAUUACAGGUUUUUCCAGAAUUCACAUUUCACGUCAAGAUCAUCCAAUCCAAACAGUGUACGGAAAGCCUAGGGCCUUCUUCACUUUGCCCCCUACCCCACCCUACACACACGCCCCCAUCUAAAUGAUACCCUUGGAAAGAAACCUACACAUCUCAUUUGUCUAUAUUUUGCUUCCUCCCUCGCCUCCCGGUAACCAAAUGUGAGUUGUUCUCUAACUGCA